UCUACGGGAGGCUGCAGUGGGGAAUAUUGCGCAAUGGGGGAAACCCUGACGCAGCGAUGCCGCGUGGGUGAAGAAGGCCUUCGGGUCGUAAAGCCCUGUCAAGUGGGAAGAACAGCGGCGGGACGAAUAAUCCCGUCGUGUGACGGUACCACUGAAGGAAGCACCGGCUAACUCCGUGCCAGCAGCCGCGGUAAGACGGAGGGUGCAAGCGUUAUUCGGAUUUAUUGGGCGUAANGAGCGUGUAGGCGGCCGGUCAAGCCAGAUGUGAAAGCCCAGGGCUUAACCCUGGAAGUGCAUUUGGAACUGGUUGGCUUGAGUUCGGGAGAGGGAAGUGGAAUUCCGGGUGUAGAGGUGAAAUUCGUAGAUAUCCGGAGGAACACCGGUGGCGAAGGCGACUUCCUGGACCGAAACUGACGCUGAGACGCGAAAGCGUGGGGAGCAAACAGGAUUAGAUACCCCUGUANUC
RNAcentral lists this ribosomal RNA (466 nucleotides) under uncultured bacterium. RNAcentral describes it as "bacterial SSU rRNA". It matches the Rfam family "Bacterial small subunit ribosomal RNA", at positions 338 to 795 of the family's 1533-position model. The record is from RNAcentral.